AAAGAAUUAGUUAAUAUAUAACAUUAAUUUGUCAAGUUAAAAUAAAUAAGUUAUUAUUAUUCUUUA
RNAcentral lists this transfer RNA (66 nucleotides) under Apocrypta bakeri. RNAcentral describes it as "tRNA-Asp". The record is from RNAcentral. Lineage: Eukaryota; Metazoa; Arthropoda; Insecta; Hymenoptera; Pteromalidae.